Ribosomal RNA from Phytophthora infestans T30-4, 172 nucleotides. NCBI's taxonomy places the organism in Eukaryota, Oomycota, Peronosporomycetes, Peronosporales, Peronosporaceae. The record is from RefSeq and is a predicted model, not a curated record.
UACCCUACUGAUGAGUUCGUUGUCUAAACAGUAAUCCCACCCAGUACGAGAGGAACCGUUGGUUCAGAUAAUUGGUAACUGCGGUUAGCUGAAAAGCUAGUGCCGCCAAGCUACCAUCUGUAGGAUUAUGGCUGAACGCCUCUAAGUCAGAAUCCAUGCUGGAAUAGACGAU